Non-coding RNA from Pantherophis guttatus, 1038 nucleotides. NCBI's taxonomy places the organism in Eukaryota, Metazoa, Chordata, Lepidosauria, Squamata, Colubridae. The record is from RefSeq and is a predicted model, not a curated record.
CAAGGUUGGUUCUCCAGAGAUCAGAAAUCCAAAAAAAAAACCCCUGGUGCAGAUACAUCCUUUGAGGUGUCUCUGCGCUUCUUCCGAUCCGCAUUGCUCCAUUUCACAGGCUGAGAAGCGAACCCGGUCACGGGUUCAAAUUUCCACCAGCGCAGACGAAUUUCUGAUUUUUGGAGAGAGAGAGAGAGAGAGAGAGAGGGUGUGUGACUUGCAGGCUGCGUGCCUUUCCUCGUUCCCAACCUUAUUGAAAUCUGACACAACGACCCCGCGGGGUAGAUCAAGUUGCCUUUUCCUUUCUUGUCCGAUCUUAAGCUUUUCUCCCCGAAGAAGCGACUCGAAAACCGGCGCAGAAAGAAGUUCUUCUGCAAUCCACUACAAAAGGACUUGUCUCUUCUUCUUUUUUUUCCCCUCCCCACCUAUUUUCGCAGGAGUGGCCGACCUAGCUGGGUUGUUGUUCCUGUGAAGCCACAGCUGAAUGGCUUAGCUCGUUCUGUGGGGCUUGUUUUGCUCAUCUGCAGCCUAGAGGAGGGAAGUUUAAAAAAAAAGAAAAGAAAAGAAAAAAAAAAAGCUGAUUUUGCUUGGACUAGUCUAGACUUGUUAAAGAUCAGGCAGACAGCCGCCCACAAACUCAUCACAACUCCUGUGUGACUCCAGUCCCUGGAUGCAUUUUUCAGGACCCACCUUUUCCUUGAAAGGGCUGCGUCGACGGAGGAAAGGAUGGGGAAGGUGAGAAACGACACCCCAGUGCGUAUUUCUUUGGCAGUGUCUUAGCUGGUUGUUGGAUGUGAUGACUGAAGAAGCAAUCAGCAAGCAUACUGCUUGAGAAGUGCUGCACAUUUGCAAGCCUGCCCAGAAAACAGCGUUUUCUCCUAGACCAGGGAUUCUGCAACUUUAAACACUCAAAGAGUCAUUUGGACCCGUUUCCCACAGAAAAGAAAACACCGGGAGCCACAAAAUCCUUCCCGUGCCUGACUAUUUCUUGAGCGGCCACAAAACUAGCAUACGUCGUCGAAUUAAACGUUCUGUUUUCUUCUGAAA